This 932-nucleotide unclassified non-coding RNA is filed under the name Hevea brasiliensis (rubber tree). The record is from RNAcentral. Lineage: Eukaryota; Viridiplantae; Streptophyta; Magnoliopsida; Malpighiales; Euphorbiaceae.
CCUGAAAUGUUGAGCAAGAAGAUGGAAAAUAAGAGUUCUCAGAAAAAUCCAAUGGCUGAUGAACCCAUAAGUAUUGGAAGUGCUGAUCUUUUAAAUGAAUAAGACCUUCAUGCCAUAGCAGAAUCCCACUGACAAAACAACGUGCUAUAUUUAAAGUAUGAAACGUAAUACAUACAGAAAUCCAAGAGCAUGCACAUGAUUGUAAAUGACAUAAAUGAAAUUUUGCAUAAUGAAUGCAAAAUAUUAUCCCCAAGAUAAAAAUGCAAUAAACUAGCAAUCCAAAAAGUUCCCUUUUUUCCAGAAAAAUGAAAUUGUCAAAGAACUUUAAAGGGUUCAGAUAUACUUCUCUACCACCGUAGCUCAAUAUUAUUUAUACUCGGUCCUGACGAAUUUAAACAAUACUUCAAAAUAUCAGUGGUUCUUUUUGAUGCACACACAGAUAUAGAAUACAAUAUAAGACUUGGAAGCACCAGACAACUCACCAACAGCUCCAGCAAUGAAAUGUGCCCAGUGGCCUCCAAGGCUAGGAUGUGAUUCUUCGAUCCACUUUUUGCUAGACUCUAUAAAACCAAAAUAUGUUGCUCCAGUUGCAAGAGACCCAGUAACUCCAGGAGUUAUACCUCUAUAAAAGCCUAAAAGUAAUCAGUUCAGAUCAAAUCCAUAAUCAGGUAGGCACUAGAACAUCAACCGAAGAGAAAAAUGCAACAGUUAGAUAUCAGCAGAUAACCAUAAAUCAUGUAUUUGUCAUCUUAGUACCACAAUACAUAAAAUAAAUAAUCAGUAGUAAAAAUUCAAAUACCAAAUUUAAAUUACUAAGAAGUUGAAAAUAUUGAACCAGUUAUCAGAAGAAGAAAUGGAAUUUAUGAUGAUGUACCUCUUACUCUAUCAGCAGCCCAGACUGUCCGGACCAUCUGCAGUAUGCUCUUUUGGCU